GACGAACACUGGCGGCGUGCUUAACACAUGCAAGUCGAACGGAAAGGCCCUGCUUUUGUGGGGUGCUCGAGUGGCGAACGGGUGAGUAACACGUGAGUAACCUGCCCUUGACUUUGGGAUAACUUCAGGAAACUGGGGCUAAUACCGGAUAGGAGCUCCUGCUGCAUGGUGGGGGUUGGAAAGUUUCGGCGGUUGGGGAUGGACUCGCGGCUUAUCAGCUUGUUGGUGGGGUAGUGGCUUACCAAGGCUUUGACGGGUAGCCGGCCUGAGAGGGUGACCGGCCACAUUGGGACUGAGAUACGGCCCAGACUCCUACGGGAGGCAGCAGUGGGGAAUAUUGCACAAUGAGCGGAAGCCUGAUGCAGCAACGCCGCGUGCGGGAUGACGGCCUUCGGGUUGUAAACCGCUUUCGCCUGUGACGAAGCGUGAGUGACGGUAAUGGGUAAAGAAGCACCGGCUAACUACGUG
RNAcentral lists this ribosomal RNA (468 nucleotides) under uncultured bacterium. Its description in RNAcentral is "partial 16S ribosomal RNA". It matches the Rfam family "Bacterial small subunit ribosomal RNA", at positions 28 to 507 of the family's 1533-position model. The record is from RNAcentral.